Dermacentor andersoni is the source of this 607-nucleotide non-coding RNA. The record is from RefSeq and is a predicted model, not a curated record. NCBI's taxonomy places the organism in Eukaryota, Metazoa, Arthropoda, Arachnida, Ixodida, Ixodidae.
UACGUGAUGGCAAAACAACAUAGCAGAAGCAGUGUAGAAAAUUGGCGAUGCGAAGUUACCUGUGUUCACACUCAUCUAUUGAAAGAAAAUGGCAAUUUCCACUGUUUGUAGAGUUUGACAAUGAUCGAGCAUCUCAUUGUUCGCAUCUAACAAUAGUAUGAGAAAUGUGCGUUUACAAUAGCCAAUAUAGAGCUAAAACCUCACGGCUAGCCUAAAAGACCCAUAGCUUAAAGCAGAACAUAUUUGUCCCAUGUGGCCACUUCUAUUCGCGAUAUUCAUCAUAGCUCUCCUACCAGCGUAUAUCCAGGCAAAACCAUGUAUAACUGAAGGCUUUCAGUGCGUGCCGCCAAAUACAUGUAAGCAGUUGCGGCGAAGGAACCUUGGUGGAUGUGCUGGCGGCAAGGUGUGCUGCAGCAUUGUACAAAAACCAUGUGGCCUGAUGGGAGGAUUCUGCUUGGGAAACUGUCUCAAGGAUCAAAGGCGAAAUGCAUCUUAUGCGUGCGAAAAUGGCCUGAAGUGUUGUUUCGCUAAAAAGCAGCGAUAUUCACCAGGCAAGAGCGCUUCUGUUGGCUCUUCGCUGUGACGCAAUAAACAUGUUUGAUGUUGU